Long non-coding RNA from Suricata suricatta (meerkat), 390 nucleotides. RefSeq lists it as uncharacterized. NCBI's taxonomy places the organism in Eukaryota, Metazoa, Chordata, Mammalia, Carnivora, Herpestidae. The transcript has 2 exons. The record is from RefSeq and is a predicted model, not a curated record.
GAGAUUGUACCCUGAACAUCUCUAAGUCUGUAGAUUUCCUUACUAUUUUUUUACUCCAAGAAAAUGGCCCCUGCUGUAUACUGCCUACUUAGUAAAGCUAAGAAAAAUAGAAAAAACAAGGACAACAUGCAAGAAAAGAAACAAAGACUUAGUAUCAGGCUUAGUGUGGAUCAUACCAGGAGAGUAUGGAGUCUUCCAGAGAAGCCACUUCUCUUCCAAUAUGUCCACGAAGAAGCCCAGCUGGAACACACAGAGAACAUCAAUUUGCCCAGGCAGAAAGGAGGGCAGAACUGGGGCAAAGAGGAAAACAACAUAUGUUUCAAUAGCAGGAAUAGCUUUGUGAUACUUGACUGCCAUUCAGCAGUGAAAUAAACAUCCUUGUCAGAAUGA